Mytilus californianus (California mussel) is the source of this 922-nucleotide long non-coding RNA. RefSeq lists it as uncharacterized. NCBI's taxonomy places the organism in Eukaryota, Metazoa, Mollusca, Bivalvia, Mytilida, Mytilidae. The record is from RefSeq and is a predicted model, not a curated record. The transcript has 3 exons.
GUGAAAUAUUACCUAGCUCUUUAGGAUUUUACAUUGUAGAAACACAAUCUUAAUUCUGAUGAAAAGUGUAAUCCAUGUAAUGUAAAAAUUAUGCCAAUUUGAAUUCAUGUGUUUAGUUUACACUAAACAUGUGUUAGUGUAAGGUAAAAACCUGAAGGGCGUCAACAUUUAGCUUUAUAUCAAAUAAGUUCAUGAUUAUUAUUAUUGAAACAUAUAUGCUCUCUGAGAAUGCUCCAUUAUUUCAAAAUAAUGUGUGAAUAUAAUAUGUUGGCCAUAUAUGAAUACUGAUGUUUUAGCAUUUUACCUUAAAAUAUAACACAAAAAAAUCAAAAUCUAAUAUUAAAAAAAAACACAUAACAAAACAAACAAAACCUACCAAUAGAUAUAAGAAGAUGUGGUAUGAGUGCCAAUGAGACAACUCUCCAUCCAAGUCAAAAUUUAUAAAAGUAAACCAUUAUUCUACAAUAACUAGAAUUAGGCUAUUCAUAUUUACUUAAUAUAACAUUCUACCGACCUUGCAAGACACUCAAGGGAAGUCAGGGUUGUUAAACACCCCCUAGUAGAAGUAGAAGAUUCUACCGACCUUGCAAGACACUCAAGGGAAGUCAAGGUUGUUAAACACCCCCUAGUAGAAGUAGAAGAUUCUACCGACCUUGCAAGACACUCAAGGGUAGUCAAGGUUGUUAAACACCCCCUAGUAGAAGUAGAAGAUUCUACCGACCUUGCAAGACACUCAAGGGUAGUCAAGGUUGUUAAACACCCCCUAGUAGAAGUAGAAGAUUCUACCGACCUUGCAAGACACUCAAGGGUAGUCAAGGUUGUUAAACACCCCCUAGUAGAAGUAGAAGAUUCUACCGACCUUGCAAGACACUCAAGGGUAGUCAAGGUUGUUAAACACCCCCUAGUAGAAGUAUAAGAUUCU